RNAcentral lists this ribosomal RNA (634 nucleotides) under Alternaria sp. C3/14. RNAcentral describes it as "LSU rRNA". It matches the Rfam family "Eukaryotic large subunit ribosomal RNA", at positions 38 to 685 of the family's 3401-position model. Lineage: Eukaryota; Fungi; Ascomycota; Dothideomycetes; Pleosporales; Pleosporaceae. The record is from RNAcentral.
GCAUAUCAAUAAGCGGAGGAAAAGAAACCAACAGGGAUUGCCCUAGUAACGGCGAGUGAAGCGGCAACAGCUCAAAUUUGAAAUCUGGCUCUUUUAGAGUCCGAGUUGUAAUUUGCAGAGGGCGCUUUGGCUUUGGCAGCGGUCCAAGUUCCUUGGAACAGGACGUCACAGAGGGUGAGAAUCCCGUACGUGGUCGCUGGCUAUUGCCGUGUAAAGCCCCUUCGACGAGUCGAGUUGUUUGGGAAUGCAGCUCUAAAUGGGAGGUACAUUUCUUCUAAAGCUAAAUAUUGGCCAGAGACCGAUAGCGCACAAGUAGAGUGAUCGAAAGAUGAAAAGCACUUUGGAAAGAGAGUCAAACAGCACGUGAAAUUGUUGAAAGGGAAGCGCUUGCAGCCAGACUUGCUUGCAGUUGCUCAUCCGGGCUUUUUUGCCCGGUGCACUCUUCUGUAGGCAGGCCAGCAUCAGUUUGGGCGGUAGGAUAAAGGUCUCUGUCACGUACCUCCUUUCGGGGAGGCCUUAUAGGGGAGGCGACAUACUACCAGCCUGGACUGAGGUCCGCGCAUCUGCUAGGAUGCUGGCGUAAUGGCUGUAAGCGGCCCGUCUUGAAACACGGACCAAGGAGUCUAACAUCUAU